Non-coding RNA from Chlorocebus sabaeus (green monkey), 1684 nucleotides. The record is from RefSeq and is a predicted model, not a curated record. Lineage: Eukaryota; Metazoa; Chordata; Mammalia; Primates; Cercopithecidae.
GCGGACACCAGCCGCGCGCCCUCGCCGGGCGCCGGGACCGGAAAAUCACCGCGAAGGGAGGGACGAGGAAAGGCGGCGGGUGGCUUCAGGACAAGAAACAUUCAGGUCAUAGCUCCAACCUUUGGGCACUGAGCAGUGUAAUCACGUGUGAUCAAAUGACCCCAGAGAGAAGACCCACGGACUUGGAUGUAAUUCAAAGUUGGCAACGUGUCACGAACUGGAACAAAGUCCUUCAUCUGUGAUGAAUUUUCUGCUGUGAGAUAUCAGUGGGCAAGGAUGUGAUGCCUGAAGAUGUGGCAUCUACCUGGAAACAGUCAAGGACCUGAAGAUGAAGCCAGCAUCUGAGGAAGACAGACAGAAAGGAUCUGGAUACAUGAUGAGUCUAGGGAAGAAUAUCAAGUAAUAUGAAGUCCGAGACAAUGGGAAAAGAAGAGGUAUUCCUGUCCAGGCCCUCUUCCAGUUAGAAGUCCACAGGGCCUGAAAAUUGCUUCCAGCAACUGACAAGUUCAUCCCCUUCCAACUGGUCUGACAAGCCCUGAGGAAGGAGGACAGUGAUAUCCACCCUCCCACCGCGCCCCCACCCCCUUAACUGUAAAAUUGUCCAUCUCAUCUUGGACUAUCCGGAAACCAACAUGGGACGACACAAAACCGCUACUUGAAGAUCAGCACCAAAAGAGUUGUUUGUGGAAAAUGGUUUACCAGGGUCAAUGUUAUGUGUAGAUGUGCAAGAAACUGCCUACCUUCUAGUCUCCAAUUAUCUACAUGUGUAUAGGAGAUGUUGGAAAUUUCUUUUUGGACUGAUUCUUUGAAGCCUUACCUCCUUGCAUAGUCCUGAUAGAAUAACGAAUUAGGUUCCCAGUGUUGAGUGAGAAGAGUGGGUUUCAGGAGUCAUUCACACACUGCAUUCUGCCUUCCCGAGGCAGUGAGGGGCAAGAAUAAGAGAAGGAUCAUGGGCUUUGGGGUUAGCCAGGACUACACCAAAAUUUCUGCUGGGCUUGGUACUAGUUGGGUCCUGGAGCAUGAUGCAUUCCCUGUUUUUUUUUUUUUUUUUGUCUGAUCUGGUAGCCUGCAGUAAAUGGUUAUUCCCUUGGCCUUAGGAUUUAUAGCCUGUGACCAGUUACCAGAUUAUCUCACCACUGAAGGCCCAGAUAGUACUGUGUAUAAUGAAAGCAAGUACCGUUAUUAACACUUGAAGCUUUCUAACCAUAGUAUUUCUCGGUUCAAAGCAAAGAAACCGGAUCCACCUAUUUAGUUUUGCAUGACUGGUAUAGAUAUCUAUAAUAUUGAGAGGAGGGGCCAGCUGGGCUUCCUGGGUCCAGCAGGGGCUCAGAAAGCUGUGAAACUCACUCAUUUCGUGCAUCAGGACUGACUUUGGUCCUGGAUGAAUAAUAUUGAAGAUAUAUGCUUAAAAUAUUCCCAACACCAGGAUGUGUGCAUGUGUUUUCUUGCCCAAGAAACGUAUAAACAGCGAAAAUUUUGCUGUAAGUUUCCCUGUGUCCUUUCUCCGUCUCUCCCUUCCCCCUCCCCUAAAACUAAAAGGAAUGUUAAAUGCCCAUUUUCUGUGACCAGCGGACCUUAUCUAUGCUCCUAAUUCCAAUUCCUUGUAAACAUACUUUGUAAAGUCCUGUGAGAUCCUGUCUCCUUUGCCAUGCCACUACAAGGUCAUAAAGUAGAUAAAACCUAA